AAGUCGUAACAAGGUCUCCGUUGGUGACCAGCGGAGGGAUCAUUACCGAGUACUAUAACUCAUAACCCUUUGUGAACCUUCAUACCUGUUGCUUCGGCGGCGCGCCUCUCGGGGCGUGCCCGCCGGCAUUAUCAGAAUCUCUGUUCGAACCCGACGAUACUUCUGAGUGUUCUAAGCGAACUGUUAAAACUUUCAACAACGGAUCUCUUGGCUCCA
Molecule: unclassified non-coding RNA, 216 nt
Filed under: uncultured Gibellulopsis
Lineage: Eukaryota; Fungi; Ascomycota; Sordariomycetes; Hypocreales; Hypocreaceae
Description: partial contains 18S rRNA, ITS1 and 5.8S rRNA
Source: RNAcentral